Molecule: unclassified non-coding RNA, 244 nt
Filed under: Hevea brasiliensis (rubber tree)
Lineage: Eukaryota; Viridiplantae; Streptophyta; Magnoliopsida; Malpighiales; Euphorbiaceae
Source: RNAcentral
CGCUCGCGAAGAAGCUGUUGCCGCGCGGCGCGGGCUCGAUCAUCACGUUCGGCAUCAAGGGCGGGCGCGAUGCUGGCCGCAAGUUCAUCGAGGCCCUGAAACUCGCCAGUCACCUCGCAAAUGUCGGCGACGCCAAGACACUGGUCAUCCACCCCGGCAGCACAACGCAUCAGCAGAUGAACGCCGAGCAGUUGAAGAUAGCGGGCAUCGGCGAGGAACUGAUCCGCCUGUCCAUCGGCAUCGA